RNAcentral lists this ribosomal RNA (433 nucleotides) under uncultured bacterium. RNAcentral's name for it is "partial 16S ribosomal RNA". It matches the Rfam family "Bacterial small subunit ribosomal RNA", at positions 29 to 507 of the family's 1533-position model. The record is from RNAcentral.
AACGAACGCUGGCGGCAGGCCUAACACAUGCAAGUCGAGCGAGGACUUCGGUUCUAUCGGCGGACGGGUGAGUAACGCGUGGGAAUGUGCCCUUCUCUACGGAAUAGCCCUGGGAAACUGGGAGUAAUACCGUAUAGGCGCUAUUGGGGAAAGAUUUAUCGGAGAAGGAUCAGCCCGCGUUGGAUUAGGUAGUUGGUGGGGUAAUGGCCUACCAAGCCGACGAUCCAUAGCUGGUUUGGGAGCAUGAUCAGCCACACUGGGACUGAGACCCGGCCCAGACUCCUACGGGAGGCAGCAGUGGGGACUCUUAGACACUGGGGGCAAGCCUGAUCUAGCCAUGCCGCGUGAGUGAGGAAGGCCUUAGGGUUGUAAAGCUCUUUCAGCUGGGAAGAUAAUGACGGUGCCAGAAGAAGAAGCCCCGGCUAACUCCGUG